This is an unclassified non-coding RNA of Macaca fascicularis (crab-eating macaque), 148 nucleotides long. It matches the Rfam family "Metazoan signal recognition particle RNA". Rfam says of the family: The signal recognition particle (SRP) is a universally conserved ribonucleoprotein. NCBI's taxonomy places the organism in Eukaryota, Metazoa, Chordata, Mammalia, Primates, Cercopithecidae. The record is from Ensembl.
GCUGGGUGUGGUGGUGUGCGCCUGUAAUCCCAGCUACUCAGGAGGCUGAGGCAGUAGAAUUGCUUGAACCCGGGAGGUGGAGGCUGCAGUGAGCCGAGAUCGUGCCACUGCACUCCAGCCUGGGUAACAGAGUGAGACCCUGUCUCAA